Cyprinus carpio (common carp) is the source of this 1569-nucleotide long non-coding RNA. RefSeq lists it as uncharacterized. Lineage: Eukaryota; Metazoa; Chordata; Actinopteri; Cypriniformes; Cyprinidae. The record is from RefSeq and is a predicted model, not a curated record. The transcript has 3 exons.
GCUAACGAUUACUUUAAGGCAGGUUACGUCACGUAUGACGUUGCCGCCUCGUCCGUCCAAUCACAACAGCGCCCGCUGACUGACAGCGGUCCAGACGAAACAAAUACACGUCCGCGUUUUCUUUCGUCCAAUCAUCGCGCCGCUCCCGCCCUGACGCGGAAGUGACCUGUGCUUUGUGGUCUUCACUCAUCCGCGCACGUGCGCGCGAGAGAGUGAACGAAGAGCCAAAACACAGCCGAUCUCAACUUUAUACGGGCGGAGAGCGGGUUGAGCUCAGGUCACAGAUCAUCAUCUGUGUGAGCAUGCGCACUGGAGCACAGCUGCUGUGUGUCUGAGAGAUGCGCGGCGCGCACGCGUCCAGCGGAGAGGCACGGGUGCGCGCUGAAGCGGCAGAGGGCGGCAGCGCUGCAGUGAAGUCCUCAGUCCUGACAACAGCAGCAGCAAUGACAAGAUAACUCCAGAGAGCUGAUGGAGAGAUGGAGGCUGAGGUUUGAGGACAGAGGCCUUCCAGUGCUGAUCUCAGGCCACAGCUCGUCCAGCCCACGCGGAGCGCCGGUGAGUCAUUGUGAUGCUCCACACAGAAACACAUGCUUCAGAUCGAGUGUGUGUGAGGGUGAAACGUCCCCUACAGUGUGUGAAAGGCCUUGGCGUGCUUCAGAUCAUGAGAAACUCACACACAUCUGUUGUUUUUGUACUGUGUUUGCUGGCAGCGCAGGCUUUAAUAAUGAACAGAAAACCAAACAUGUACGGUUGUGUUUGUGAUGUUGUAAUGUUGAGCAUGUGCCCUCUCAGUGCUGUUGUGUAAUCAGAUCUGUGAUCGUGCUGCUGAUGUAUCAGUGAGAGUCUCUCCUGCGGAGCCGCUGGAGCCGCUCGUGUCCGACGCUGUGGCUAGAGAGAGCGUGAGAGUGAGACGCGGCGCUAACAAUCCUUCCCUCGUGUCCUCACCGCUCGCUCUUCACAUUUACAGCAGCGCUUCACACAACUGAGCGAUUCUUGCCUCAUUAACUCAUUCACGUGUCACUCCAAACCUGUGUGAGUUUCUUUCUUCUGUGGAACUUAUAAGGAGAUAUUUAGCUGAAUGUUCAAGCUGCUCAUUUCCAUACAACAGUAGAUUAAAGUGAUCAUAUCCAUCAGGCUCCAAAAAUUAGAAAAAAACACUUAAAAAAUCAUCAGAAUUUCAGUCUGUUUUUCACUCAAAGCAUCACAUGACUUCUGAAGCCAUGUGACUAUAUUUAUGGUGGGGUUUAUUUUUUAAAAAAAGUUCUUUUUUUUUUUGAUUUUUAUUAAUACUGUUAACUGGUUAAAAAUUGAAACUGUUCAUUGAAAUGUAGCUGAAGUACAAAUACAUAUUAAAAAAAAACUACCUGAUGAGCCUGAAUAAGUCAUGGCAGAAUAUUCAUUUUUAGAUUAAACGUUCCUAUAGUAAUAAAAGAAAAAUGACAUUCUUUAUGCUUCUCACUAUUCGUGUCUCAUACUGUUUUUGUGUAUGUUUGGUGUUGUAAAUGUGUCUGUGUGUGUGAGAGAGAGAUAGAGAGUGUGUGUGUGUGUGUGUGUGUGUGUGCAUGUGUA